CCUACGGGUGGCAACAGUAGGGAAUAUUGCUCAAUGGGGGAAACCCUGAAGCAGCAACGCCGCGUGGAGGAUGAAGGUUUUCGGAUUGUAAACUCCUUUUGUUAGAGAAGAUAAUGACGGUAUCUAACGAAUAAGCACCGGCUAACUCCGUUCCAGCAGCCGCGGUAAUACGGAGGGUGCAAGCGUUACUCGGAAUCACUGGGCGUAAAGGGCGCGUAGGCGGGAUAGCAAGUCAGAUGUGAAAUCCUAUGGCUUAACCAUAGAACUGCAUUUGAAACUGUUAUUCUAGAGUAUGGGAGAGGUAGGUGGAAUUCUUGGUGUAGGGGUAAAAUCCGUAGAGAUCAAGAGGAAUACUCAUUGCGAAGGCGACCUGCUAGAACAUAACUGACGCUGAUGCGCGAAAGCGUGGGGAGCAAACAGGAUUAGAUACCCGGGUAGUC
RNAcentral lists this ribosomal RNA (440 nucleotides) under uncultured bacterium. RNAcentral's name for it is "partial 16S ribosomal RNA". It matches the Rfam family "Bacterial small subunit ribosomal RNA", at positions 338 to 795 of the family's 1533-position model. The record is from RNAcentral.